UAAACGACUCUCGGCAACGGAUAUCUCGGCUCUCGCAUCGAUGAAGAACGUAGCGAAAUGCGAUACUUGGUGUGAAUUGCAGAAUCCCGUGAACCAUCGAGUCUUUGAACGCAAGUUGCGCCCAAAGCCUUUUGGUUGAGGGCACGUCUGCCUGGGUGUCACAC
RNAcentral lists this ribosomal RNA (164 nucleotides) under Clusia ducu. Its description in RNAcentral is "5.8S ribosomal RNA". It matches the Rfam family "5.8S ribosomal RNA". From Rfam's summary of the family: 5.8S ribosomal RNA (5.8S rRNA) is a component of the large subunit of the eukaryotic ribosome. It is transcribed by RNA polymerase I as part of the 45S precursor that also contains 18S and 28S rRNA. Functionally, it is thought that 5.8S rRNA may be involved in ribosome translocation. The record is from RNAcentral. Lineage: Eukaryota; Viridiplantae; Streptophyta; Magnoliopsida; Malpighiales; Clusiaceae. RNAcentral also lists the same sequence under 4 other names.